RNAcentral lists this ribosomal RNA (466 nucleotides) under uncultured bacterium. Its description in RNAcentral is "partial 16S ribosomal RNA". It matches the Rfam family "Bacterial small subunit ribosomal RNA", at positions 28 to 507 of the family's 1533-position model. The record is from RNAcentral.
GACGAACGCUGGCGGUGUGCUUAACACAUGCAAGUCGAACGGUAAGGCCCUUUCGGGGGUACACGAGUGGCGAACGGGCGAGUAACACGUGAGUAACCUGCCCUCAUCUCUGGGAUAACAGUCGGAAACGGUUGCUAAUACUGGAUAUGAGCUUGCAAGGCAUCUUGUGGGUUGGAAAGAUUUUUUUGGUUGGGGAUGGACUCGCGGCCUAUCAGCUUGUUGGUGAGGUAGUGGCUCACCAAGGCUUCGACGGGUAGCCGGCCUGAGAGGGCGACCGGCCACAUUGGGACUGAGAUACGGCCCAAGCUCCUACGGGAGGCAGCAGUGGGGAAUAUUGCACAAUGGGCGGAAGUCUGAUGCAGCAACGCCGCGUGCGGGAUGACGGCCUUCGGGUUGUAAACCGCUUUCAAUUGUGACGAAGCUUUUUGUGACGGUAGCAGUAGAAGAAGCACCGGCUAACUACGUG